GUGAGUAGUUCAGAGUUUGAUCCUGGCUCAGGAUGAACGCUGGCGGCGUGCAUAACACAUUCAAGUCGAACGGACAAGGGGCUUCGGCCCUGCGUUAGUGGCGGACGGGCGAGUAACGCGUGAGAAACCUGCCUUUCAGUGGGGGACAACAGUUGGAAACGACUGCUAAUACCGCAUAAUGUUAUUUGGGGGCAUCCUUGAAUAACCAAAGCUUUAUGUGCUGAAAGAUGGUCUCGCGUCUGACUAGCUAGUUGGUGAGGUAACGGCUCACCAAGGCGACGAUCAGUAGCCGGUCUGAGAGGAUGAACGGCCACAUUGGGACUGAGAUACGGCCCAG
Molecule: ribosomal RNA, 337 nt
Filed under: uncultured bacterium
Lineage: Bacteria
Description: bacterial SSU rRNA
Rfam family: Bacterial small subunit ribosomal RNA
Source: RNAcentral